This 324-nucleotide ribosomal RNA is filed under the name uncultured bacterium. RNAcentral's name for it is "bacterial SSU rRNA". It matches the Rfam family "Bacterial small subunit ribosomal RNA", at positions 28 to 334 of the family's 1533-position model. The record is from RNAcentral.
GAUGAACGCUGGCGGCGUGCUUAACACAUGCAAGUCGAACGAAGCACUCCGGAAUGCGCCUUCGGGCAAGUGAAGGAGUGACUUAGUGGCGGACGGGUGAGUAACGCGUGGGUAACCUGCCUCGUACAGGGGGAUAACAGUUAGAAAUGACUGCUAAUACCGCAUAUGCACACAGUACCGCAUGGUACAGGGUGGAAAGAUUUAUCGGUACGAGAUGGACCCGCGUUGGAUUAGCUAGUUGGCAGGGUAACGGCCUACCAAGGCGACGAUCCAUAGCCGGCCUGAGAGGGUGAACGGCCACAUUGGGACUGAGACACGGCCCAA